GGACUACUGGGGUUUCUAAUCCUGUUUGCUCCCCUUGCUCUCGCGCCUCAGCGUCAGGUAUAAGCUAGAAAACCGCUUUCGCCACAGGUGUUCUUCCACAUAUCUACGCAUUUCACCGCUACACGUGGAAUUCCGUUUCCUCCGCCAAUCCUCGAGAUAUUCAGUUUCAAAUGCAGCUCCGAAUUUGAGCCCCGGAAUUUCACAUCUGACUUUUAUAUCCGCCUACGCGCCCUUUACGCCCAAUAAUUCCGAUUAAUGCUUGCACCCUCCGUAUUACCGCGGCUGCUGGCAC
Molecule: ribosomal RNA, 292 nt
Filed under: uncultured bacterium
Lineage: Bacteria
Description: partial 16S ribosomal RNA
Source: RNAcentral